Molecule: long non-coding RNA, 2368 nt
Organism: Mastomys coucha (southern multimammate mouse)
Lineage: Eukaryota; Metazoa; Chordata; Mammalia; Rodentia; Muridae
Exons: 8
Source: RefSeq, a predicted model, not a curated record
CUUGGGUGUUAAGGCAGGAAACAGGAGUCCUUGGUAGUGAGAAAUUCCAUUAUCCAAGCAUGAGUUUCAGGAGGCUCAUUCAGCUGAAAGUAGAGAAUCUGAUAGACUCUAGUUGUAAAUUAGUAAUGAAUUGAUUAACAUCUGUCUCCCUUGCUGAUUGUAGGAAUCUUCCUGUCACUGGUAAGUAUUUACCUUUUGCUAGUGUCCUGCAGGCAGCAGGGAAGCCCCUGGCCAAAAGAAGGUACUAAAUGGAAUAAGUCAUUGGAAAAAUAGCAGUCAAGUGAAUGUCUCCGUAGUGUAAAUGAAUGGAGUAAGGAACGGAGUGCUCUCUCAGCCCCAGGCAUCGUCUCAAAUGUUGCCAGUAGCUUUGGCAGAGGGAAGGCAUGGAGGGUUAAAUGGCAUCCUGACAGAUGCUAGUCUUGCCGCUCCGUCCUCACUGCACAUGGUGCCUUCUGGAAUAGCUUAGAAGGCAGAGCUGGAAACCAGAGACCAGCCAGUCUGAGGACAGUCCAACAGAACACCCUGGUGGGUCAGUGAGUGAUCUGCAGUCAUAAGGAAAUCACAGUGUGUUAUGAUUUGUAUAUGAAACGCCAUUCACAGUCCUGUCUCUUACAGGUUCCUGUAUGGAGCACUGAUCUUUAGCAGUGGUGCUGCUUCAGGAAGGAGGUGGUGGAUACUUGGGAGAUGGAACCUGGAUGGAUUCCGAAGUAGGUCUCUUGACAUAUAACUUUAAAGGUGACUCCAGAUAGUUUUGGAAAACUCCAUCUGACUUCUCUACAGAUGGAGGAGAGUAGCUGAAAACACUGACAGAGAAUUUGAAGACGGCUAUGAGUGCCAUCUUUGGAAUUCUGACCUCUUAGAGCCCAGAGAUAACCACAGGCUGGGGACUGCACUUUGUUAGGUAGCUUGAAGACACACCCAAAAGACACACCUACUGUGGAAGGAGGGCAUUGAAUAUGCAGUUUAUUCUUAGAUCAAUCUGAAGCCCUACAUCCUAGGGGUCCUUGAUGGAGGUGAGAGAGAUGGUCAAUGGGGCAGAAAGUGGAACCAAUAGGAGAGCCUGCACUCUACAGCAUCAAGGCCUUGGAGUUGACAUCUUCAUUUGACAAACAUGCUGAAAUGCUGACUUUGAGCAAGGUUAUUGGAUAUGCAGGAUGAUAUUGUCCUUCAGAGAGGAGUACAUAUGGCUCAGGCCGUGGAUGUGGGUGAGUACAUUGUGGCAGAUCAGGAUGCAGAGAAUGAGAACAGAAGCAGGCACAGGCAUCUGCAAAGCCCAUCCUCCAUGACCUCUUUCCAUUAACUAGACCUCAGUAUCUUCCCAAACAACUCUUUGGCUGGGAACUGUGAGUUUCAAACCAUACCACUCUCUACUCUGUGAGUCCAUUCACAGAAGAGGAUAUCUGAGGCUGGGUAAUUUUAUAAAGAAAAGAAAUUUAUUCAUCUCACAGUUCUAUAUGUUUGCUGUUUCUGUGAGAACCCAUUCUGAGAACUAACCCAGCAUUUUUGGGACCUACCUUAAUCCCUUUGGAGUGGAGCUUCUGGCGACUUCCCAUUAAGUCCUACCUCUGAAAAGUACCAUGAGGAACAAUUCGUCAGUACAUCAACCCUGGGAAGACAAACCACAUUUAAACUACUUCCAGGAGUCAGCAAGAUGGCUCAACAGAAAAAGACACAGUGAAGCCUGAUGACCUGAGUUCAAGCCCCUGGCAUCUGCAUGGUAGAAGGAAAGAGCUGACUCCCGAAGGUGGUCCUCUGACCACCACACACCUGCUGUGGCAUGCUUGUCUCCUCCCCACUGAAUGAUUUAAUUCCAGAUGGAAGAAAAGCCAGUGGACCAUCAGGAUCCCUAUUCUCUCUCUAUUAUCUACUGUGUGGCCUACCAUGAUAUGAGCUUGUCUGCUCUGCCACACACUACCCACCGUCAUGAAUGGAACCCACUGAAGUCAUGAAUGAAGUUCCAGAACUGACAUCACAUACCCUUGCCUCAGCCUAGAGGUUUCCCUGCCAGGAGACAGGGCUGGCACCUUCUAAAGAGGGUUCUAGGACUACCCAGGAAUCAACACAGUCUGAAUGGAAGAUCACAGUAUCCAUGAGCAAGGAAAGAUUGUAAGAACUUCCAAAAUAACUCAGGACAAGACAUAGAACAUACUGUUCCAAGUCAUGGAGUGGAGAAAGCUUUCUCAGUGUCUGCCCGGCAGACUGGCAGCAUCCACAUCUCUUUUUGGUGAUAGAACACCAAUACUUUUUGCUACCACAAAUUAUGCAGCCGACUUCCCUGCCUUUGGAGGAGUCACGGGUUAACAUACCUAGAGAGCAAUGGAUGAGCCUCACCUUGGGAAAAUCACCCUUAUGAUCAUGAGAUCUCCCC